RNAcentral lists this ribosomal RNA (373 nucleotides) under uncultured organism. RNAcentral describes it as "partial 16S ribosomal RNA". It matches the Rfam family "Bacterial small subunit ribosomal RNA", at positions 526 to 896 of the family's 1533-position model. The record is from RNAcentral.
GUAGGUGGGCAAGCGUUGUCCGGAAUUAUUGGGCGUAAAGCGCGCGCAGGGCGGUCCUUUAAGUCUGAUGUGAAAGCCCACGGCUCAACCGUGGAGGGUCAUUGGAAACUGGGGGACUUGAGUACAGAAGAGGAAAGCGGAAUUCCAAGUGUAGCGGUGAAAUGCGUAGAGAUUUGGAGGAACACCAGUGGCGAAGGCGGCUUUCUGGUCUGUAACUGACGCUGAGGCGCGAAAGCGCGGGGAGCAAACAGGAUUAGAUACCCUGGUAGUCCACGCCGUAAACGAUGAGUGCUAAGUGUUAGGGGGUUUCCGCCCCUUAGUGCUGCAGCUAACGCAUUAAGCACUCCGCCUGGGGAGUACGGCCGCAAGGCUG